RNAcentral lists this long non-coding RNA (619 nucleotides) under Phascolarctos cinereus (koala). RNAcentral describes it as "lncRNA (ENSPCIG00000007598.2)". The record is from RNAcentral. Lineage: Eukaryota; Metazoa; Chordata; Mammalia; Diprotodontia; Phascolarctidae.
UUGUAUUUCAGAAAGAACUCACUGAUCUCAAUAAUACUAAAGAAGGUACACAUUUAUAAAUCAGAGGAAAGCUUAGGAAAAGGAACAACGAAAAUGAAUAUAGACAUUCAACUGGGAAUAUCAAUUCAAUAAUUUGACAAUAAAUAAUUAUUAAGCCCUUAUUAUGUGAUGCACUACUAGGUAUUGGGACUACAUAGAUGAAAAUCUACAUAGUGCCUACUGUGGAUAAAUUUAUAAUUAAAGUGGAAACUUCCUCACCCCACAUAGCAAAUUGUGAGUAGCAGAUUACUUUAUCCCUGGCUGUGAAAGAGGUCACACAGGUUACUCCAGUACAGCUUCCUUCCAAUUAUUUCGAGUCAUCUCUCCUUCCUGACUCUCUCCACUUCCACUUUGGCUUGAGCAGCAACUGUUGGAAAAAGACUGAACAAUGGACCAAGUUAGUGGAGUGAGGAGGACAAGUACUCAGAGGAAGGACAAGUACUCAGAGACACUGAAACGGAAAGACCUGGCAUGGAAUGAAGGUCAGCAGAUGGAAUCUAGAAGCCAGGGGGUGGUACAGUUCUGUCAUAAAAUUGCUAAAAGUGCCAAGACUUUAAUUAAAAAAAAAUCAAGUGCCAAG